Molecule: ribosomal RNA, 492 nt
Filed under: uncultured bacterium
Lineage: Bacteria
Description: partial 16S ribosomal RNA
Rfam family: Bacterial small subunit ribosomal RNA
Source: RNAcentral
AGUGAACGCUGGCGGUAGGCCUAACACAUGCAAGUCGAACGGCAGCACAGUAAGAGCUUGCUCUUACGGGUGGCGAGUGGCGGACGGGUGAGGUAUACAUCGGAAUCUACUUUUUCGUGGGGGAUAACGUAGGGAAACUUACGCUAAUACCGCAUACGACCUACGGGUGAAAGCAGGGGAUCUUCGGACCUUGCGCGAUUGAAUGAGCCGAUGUCGGAUUAGCUAGUUGGCGGGGUAAAGGCCCACCAAGGCGACGAUCCGUAGCUGGUCUGAGAGGAUGAUCAGCCACACUGGAACUGAGACACGGUCCAGACUCCUACGGGAGGCAGCAGUGGGGAAUAUUGGACAAUGGGCGCAAGCCUGAUCCAGCCAUACCGCGUGAGUGAAGAAGGCCUUCGGGUUGUAAAGCCCUUUUGUUGGGAAAGAAAAGCAGCAGGUUAAUACCCCGCUGUUCUGACGGUACCCAAAGAAUAAGCACCGGCUAACUUCGUG